UACAUAGGGUGCGAGCGUUGUCCGGAAUUAUUGGGCGUAAAGAGCUCGUAGGCGGUUUGUCACGUCUGCUGUGAAAUCCCGAGGCUCAACCUCGGGCCUGCAGUGGGUACGGGCAGACUGGAGUGCGGUAGGGGAGAAUGGAAUUCCUGGUGUAGCGGUGGAAUGCGCAGAUAUCAGGAGGAACACCGAUGGCGAAGGCAGUUCUCUGGGCCGUAACUGACGCUGAGGAGCGAAAGCGUGGGGAGCGAACAGG
This 253-nucleotide ribosomal RNA is filed under the name uncultured bacterium. Its description in RNAcentral is "partial 16S ribosomal RNA". It matches the Rfam family "Bacterial small subunit ribosomal RNA", at positions 524 to 776 of the family's 1533-position model. The record is from RNAcentral.